UACGAGGGGGGCAAGCGUUGUUCGGAAUUAUUGGGCGUAAAGGGCGUGUAGGCGGUUAGUUAAGUCUGGCGUGAAAGCUCUCGGCUAAACCGGGAGAGGUCGUUGGAUACUGGCUGGCUAGAGGACGGUAGAGGCGUGUGGAAUUCCGGGUGUAGUGGUGAAAUGCGUAGAGAUCCGGAGGAACACCAGUGGCGAAGGCGACACGCUGGGCCGUACCUGACGCUAAAGCGCGACAGCAUGGGGAGCAAACGGG
RNAcentral lists this ribosomal RNA (253 nucleotides) under uncultured bacterium. RNAcentral's name for it is "partial 16S ribosomal RNA". It matches the Rfam family "Bacterial small subunit ribosomal RNA", at positions 524 to 776 of the family's 1533-position model. The record is from RNAcentral.